AUUGAACGCUGGCGGCAGGCUUAACACAUGCAAGUCGAGCGGGGUGAUGGUGCUUGCACUAUCACUUAGCGGCGGACGGGUGAGUAAUGCUUAGGAAUCUGCCUAUUAGUGGGGGACAACAUCUCGAAAGGGAUGCUAAUACCGCAUACGUCCUACGGGAGAAAGCAGGGGAUCACUUGUGACCUUGCGCUAAGAGAUGAGCCUAAGUCGGAUUAGCUAGUUGGUGGGGUAAAGGCCUACCAAGGCGACGAUCUGGAGCGGGUCUGAGAGGAUGAUCCGCCACACUGGGACUGGGACACGGCCCAGACUCCUACGGGAGGCAGCAGUGGGGAAUAUUGGACAAUGGGGGGAACCCUGAUCCAGCCAUGCCGCGUGUGUGAAGAAGGCCUUAUGGUUGUAAAGCACUUUAAGCGAGGAGGAGGCUCUUUUGGUUAAUACCCAAGAUGAGUGGACGUUACUCGCAGAAUAAGCACCGGCUAACUCUGUGCCAGCAGCCGCCGUAA
This 503-nucleotide ribosomal RNA is filed under the name uncultured bacterium. RNAcentral describes it as "partial 16S ribosomal RNA". It matches the Rfam family "Bacterial small subunit ribosomal RNA", at positions 30 to 523 of the family's 1533-position model. The record is from RNAcentral.